This 460-nucleotide ribosomal RNA is filed under the name uncultured bacterium. RNAcentral's name for it is "partial 16S ribosomal RNA". It matches the Rfam family "Bacterial small subunit ribosomal RNA", at positions 338 to 795 of the family's 1533-position model. The record is from RNAcentral.
CCUACGGGAGGCUGCAGUGAGGAAUAUUGGUCAAUGGACGGAAGUCUGAACCAGCGAUGCCGCGUGCAGGAAGACGGCUCUAUGAGUGGUAAACUGCAUUUGUACAAGGGUAAACCGGAAGACGUGGAUUCAGCUGACAGGACUGAACGAAUAAGGAUAGGCGAACUACGUGCCAGCAGGCGAGGUAAUACGGAGGAUCCAAGCGUUAUCCGGAGUUAAUGGGGUUAAGGGGGGCGUAGGCGGAGUGAUAAGGUAGAGGGGAAAUGUCGGAGCUUAACUCGGGAACUGCCUCUAAUACUGUUGAUCUAGAGAGUAGGUGCGGUAGGCGGAAUGGAUAGUGUAGCGGUGAAAUGCUUAGAGAUCAUACAGAACACCAAUUGCGAAGGCAGCUUACUAAGCUAUAUCUGACGUUGAGGCACGAAAGCGUGGGGAGCAAACAGGAUUAGAUACCCGGGUAGUC